CCAGAAAGUCCCACUGGCCACGCGCUUCCGGCCGCGCGCAGACACACUCGCGCCCACUCACUUCCGCGCCUGCGCAAAUCGUUUGACAAGAGGCAACCUCCGUGAGAACCAAGCUAAUCGAGCGCCGAGCAAAAUGAGCGAGAGAGAGAAUUAAUGGAAGAUGGAAUGGAUCAGGCGAGCCGGCGCCGACUGAGGAGGAGGAGGAGAUUUUAAGGGGCUGAGAGGCGGCGUGAGUAGUGCGUGCGUUUGUGUGCGGAGUCGCGUGUGUUUUCUCGCUAGUUGUCGCUACAGAGCCCUGGCGGUUCGCGCGCUCCUCAGGGGAAUGCUGUGUGGGACUCCCCGCUGGUCCCCUCGGGGGCUGGGCUGCGGGCGAAGUCUGUUGCUGCUGCUAGCUACAAAUGCUUGGUCAGUGGGGAAGACAAGGGCAGCGAUGGUGCCGGGUGGAAGACAACUGCUGCUGCUUGGUCGUUGCCGGAGCGGAUGUCGCAGCGCCGCUCCCCGACCGGCCUUAUCUCUGGGGGCUGCAGGUAUCUACGGCUGCAGUCUUCGAUGCAUUUACGUGCAAGUUGAUCUCGUCGAAAAUCAAUAAGUCUAAAUUUGUUUGACUCGGGCUGCAGAGCACUGCUUCGUUCCCUUCUCCAAUGGUUAAUUUCUUAAAAAGAGCGAACAAGAUUUAAACUUGCUUGGGACCUCUCUCCUGGUCUUCUAUGUGGCGAUGAGAUGAGGGCGAGAGUUCCUAAGUAAUGAAUGAUCUCAGAGAGAGAAAGAGAUAAUCCCGUCUUCCCACAUUCCAUGGUUCAACUCACAGGUGCAGAGGUAGUCCUGCUUCAAAUGAACUGGAAACUUGAUAAAGGACCAGGAAUUCUAACUUAGUCAAAGAAAAUACCGCAUAUGAUGUCUGAUGGAAAAUAAACACUUGGCUUGCUCUAAUAACAAAUAUUGAAUAUUGUAGCACCUUAAAGACAAGAAAUUUAUUGAACCGUGUUUGACAGGCCACUUAUUCAAGUUCCUAAUUUUUAAAUUUUGUAAUCUGCCUUGAGUCUCUGCCUGAAUAGUGGAUUAUAAAUAAAGUAAAUACUAAGUGAUUUCA
Long non-coding RNA from Heteronotia binoei (common prickly gecko), 1090 nucleotides. RefSeq lists it as uncharacterized. The transcript has 2 exons. NCBI's taxonomy places the organism in Eukaryota, Metazoa, Chordata, Lepidosauria, Squamata, Gekkonidae. The record is from RefSeq and is a predicted model, not a curated record.